AGGGCUCAUUUGCCCUUGAGCCAGGUCGUGCACUGCUCAAAAGCCAAGUUCCCAAGAAGUUUUUACCACCCGGCGGUUGAAGCAGUGCUAUUUUCAGACUUCAAAAUACGGACAGUUGAUGGCUGACUUGAAAUGGACUUGAUAAAACACUCAGCUAACAUGGCACCAUAUGAUGAUUAAACUAUUAGGCUGUUGGCACCUUGAAAGGGGAAUAGACCCUUUUCAAAGACAUGUCAUCAUCAUCAUCAUCAUCAUCAUCAUCAUCAUCAUCAAUCCUUUAUUUAAUUCUCAGGAUAACAUGGAGGGAAGGAUCCUCAUGAGCUCUCAGACAUGAUGAAACAGGAUAAACGCAGUUGCAGUUAGUUGCAGUUGGUUGAUUUUUGGUGGA
Myripristis murdjan (pinecone soldierfish) is the source of this 388-nucleotide long non-coding RNA. RefSeq lists it as uncharacterized. The transcript is spliced from 3 exons. The record is from RefSeq and is a predicted model, not a curated record. Lineage: Eukaryota; Metazoa; Chordata; Actinopteri; Holocentriformes; Holocentridae.